Molecule: ribosomal RNA, 479 nt
Filed under: uncultured bacterium
Lineage: Bacteria
Description: partial 16S ribosomal RNA
Rfam family: Bacterial small subunit ribosomal RNA
Source: RNAcentral
GAUGAACGCUGGCGGCGUGCUUAACACAUGCAAGUCGAACGAGAAGUGGAGACGGAAACCUUCGGGCGGAAGACUUUAUUUCGAGUGGCGGACGGGUGAGUAACGCGUGGGUAACCUGCCUCAUACAGGGGGAUAACAGUUGGAAACGACUGUUAAUACCGCAUAAGACCACAGCACCGCAUGGUGCGGGGGUAAAAACUCCGGUGGUAUGAGAUGGACCCGCGUUCGAUUAGCCAGUUGGCGGGGUAACGGCCCACCAAAGCGACGAUCGAUAGCCGAUCUGAGAGGAUGACCGGCCACAUUGGGACUGAGACACGGCCCAAACUCCUACGGGAGGCAGCAGUGAGGAAUAUUGCACAAUGGGGGAAACCCUGAUGCAGCGACGCCGCGUGAGUGAAGAAGUAUUUCGGUAUGUAAAGCUCUAUCAGCAGGGAAGAAAAUGACGGUACCUGAGUAAGAAGCCCCGGCUAACUACGUGC